Molecule: long non-coding RNA, 1346 nt
Organism: Dermochelys coriacea (leatherback sea turtle)
Lineage: Eukaryota; Metazoa; Chordata; Testudines; Dermochelyidae
Exons: 8
Source: RefSeq, a predicted model, not a curated record
GAGUGCGGAGGGAGGAAGAGGGCGGCCGCUCAGAGCAUGCGCAGACAAAAGGACAGCCGAUUCUCCCUCUGACGGAGACUGAAACUUACAGCGCAUGCGCCAGAGAAACGCCGCUGAGACCGAAGCCAGCCUGCGAGUCACGUGGCGGAGGAGCGGCUCUGGAGGGGUGAAACGAUUGGCCGUGAGGGUUAACGAGGCGGAAGUGUUGACGUUCCUUUGCUGGCGUGAGGUGGGUUUGUGGUUGGUGCAGUUCCUUUACCAGACAUGGAUGGUCGCAGAGCGUGGUUGUGACCCCAGAACUAUAGACCCAUUGUUCUCCUUGGCUUUGUUUAGAUGUCUUCUGUUCCUCCUGAAGGACAGGUUCUUAGACAUGUGCCAAAUGUGUUUACAUGGUGGUGGAGAAACAUGGGGGCUGCAGAGAGAUUGAACUACAGGGUGCCAUAGUUGAGAGGUGGAAGAAGCGAGGCCGAUUACCUGAAGAAUGCAUUCAAGAGACUAAAAGGGAUCUAAAGUGCAGCCCAUCUGGAAUAAAACAUCAGUUCCACCCACUGAAGAAAGUAAAUACCAGCAAACCUCAGGAUAUGCUUUUCAGCCGUCCUGCUGUCUCGUUUUAAAUUGGAGCUUGUCUCAUCAUCCUGUUAGGAAACGCAGAUCUGCCCAAUCUUGCUCAUUUGGGAGUACAACUAUUUGAAGACGCUCUCCCAGAGUCAUCUGAGUGAGAAAAUGAAAAAUGUAUCUUCAUGCUUUAAGAACUUUGAUGACCAAGAACUUUGGUGCUUGAAUAACUCAGACUAUUUGCAUUUAACACAAGUAGCACCUAGAGGCUCCGACCAAGAUCUGAUUCCCUUUGUGCCUGGCACAUAGUAAGAGACAGUCCUUACCCUGAAGAUCUUACAAUCUAAAUGGACAAGACAAACAGUUUGAGAGAAAACAGAACUGAAUUUGCAGCUUACAGGCCAGCCCAAUCUCCUCCUCCAGCAACAUUAGGAAGGGUGUGUUUGUGUGUAUGUGUAACUCACUACCAGAUAUCUCUCCUUAUGCAAUGGGACUGGAAUGGGAAGGUCUCCUACUUCAUGAGAUAUGGAUCAUCACAUCAUGCUCCUUGCAUGAUAUUAUAUGAAGUAUGGAAGCUGCUGUUGAUACAGUGGCAGUAUAUCAGCACUGAAACCUGCAAAUUGUCCUUUCAGGACAAGGAGAUAAUGCUGCCUGCUUCUUGUUCACAAUGUCACCUGAAAGUGAGAACAGGUGUUCGCAUGGAACUGUUGUAGCUGGCGCUGUAAGAUAUUUACAUGACAGAUGGACUGAAGUUUCAUAUGUUCCUUGAUACUUCACCAUUCCAGAGGACG